UUCACCAGUAAAUAUAUAUUCUAACGCAAGAGGCGUGGUGACACGCGUAAACAUAAGAAAAACAUGGAACCACUAUGGGCGGAAAACUCUACUCACCAACACAGCUGCAUUCAUAGGAAAUCAAAUCCGAGAUUUUGCUCAGGUUAGAACAACUCGGUGUCAGUUGAUAUAUGCACUUGGUGGUUGCAGAAUCAAUUCUGAGAAUCAGCUUCUGGGUCCAGAAUCGGUUCUGAUAAUAGAGAAGCUGAUUAAAACAUGUUAUGAAUAGAUGAGGUAUGAGGGUACACAAAGAUAAAAGUAAAACAAGGUUCCACUGCAAUAAAUGAAUGUGAAUAACCAGUCGUGUGUUUUUGGGUAUCUCUAUCUCAAUUGUGACAUAUACUUGCAGUUUUCUGAUUGUAGUGUCUCUAGAAAAGAGGACCUACCUCAUAAAUAACUAUUAUAUACUUGGGAUGAACUGUGGUCAGCUUUAAUUCUGUCCAAACAUUAAACAAACACCAAAUAGCACCUCAUGAGUCCUUCUGCAGUUCCGUUUAAGACUGCAACUCAUAAAAAUGGUUAAAGAUGAUUAUUCUCGGGCUCUGUCUGUUUAAUUACUGAAGCAAAGAGUUAAGCCCUCUUUUCUAGUCAUAUUGAGAUUAUAAGAUUUCUUAUUUACUUCUAACAUUUGAUUCAGUGGUUUUAAGUGCAAAUUAAAACACAUCACAUUUUACUCUGCUGAUAAAUACAGUUCAUUUCCCAAGGCAGAUAAUUUUCUGAAAUUCAUAGUUUACUGAUAGCCCACUCAAGUAUUUCCUAUUGAGUAGAUUUUGGGUUAAUUUCACUGGCACUAUUAUGUGUUCCACCAUUCACACCUUUCAGAGGAAAGCUAGAUUGCUAUAAGAUAUCAUCUUGCUAUCAUGAGCUCUAAAUUUCCUGUCUCAUUAUGAUACUAUUUCCAACUUCCAAGGUUAUCUACUGCUUGGAUCUUUGCAUGAUGAUGGUUAAAAAGUGGAUUUUGGUGGACCUGCUCAAUCUGAUUAAGAAAAGGGUUGGUUUCUGUGUUGCACAGUUGCAGCAUUCAAGUCUUCUCAUUAUCUUCGCUGUCUUCACUAUUUUUUGAUGUCUUUAUAAGCAUGACUUUUAAUCCAUGAACCAACUAUAUUUUAAUUUUCUGUUUUCUGUGCAUUCUUUUUAGUCCAUGUUGUUUAUGAUGCAUAUGACUUGGAAGUAUAGGUGUGGUUUCAUUGCAGUAGUAAGUUCCAGAAAAUAUAUGGAGUUAAUGGUUGCGUUUGGUGUUGGAUUGUUCCGAACAAAUGUGCUUUAACCCCAUCUCAGUGUGUUUGGUAGUGUAUGGUCGUUGGUUUCUAAUGACUUAAAAUUGUUACCGAUUGUUGAUAAGGAUUUAGAUUUGAAUAUUGGCUUGAGGAAUUAUUAUUGCACUCAUAAUUUAAUAGUUUCUGUUUUUAUAUACCAAGCGGGAUAAAACAAAAUAUAUAAUCUUGAUUUGUAAUCAUUCUACUGUGCUUGGGUUAAGGACGUAUCUCUAUGGAUUUAAAGGUGACUUAUCGACUUAUUUUAACUUAUGGAAAAAAUUCAAUUAAGGGGAAUAUAUCUCUAUGGUGAUUCACUUAUUGUGUACUUAUCUCUCUCUGUAUUUAGUCUUCUGGAACUUCUACAACCACUUCUUUUUCCUCUGUCACAUGUUCAGUUUAUUGGUUAAUGUAGUUUUCCUUAUUCCUUUUUCCUCUUCAAAAGAACAUGGAAGUGAUAAUAAAUGCAAUGGUGACAUGAAAUAGACUUGGUCUGCAGUGGUUGAGCUAAGCUUGAUAUUGCAAGAUGUUAGAAUUCUAGGAUUCCAAUUCUUAUGUUUUAACUACUAAAUUUAAGCCUUUGAAAGUUGGCAAGCUAUAGCAAUCAAGAAGAGGUAUUCUUGUGGUAGAGUUAUAUAGCUGACCUCUUAUAUAUUGAACUCUUUUCUCUUCCUCCUUUUGGUUAUUUUCUUUAAAUGAUGAUGUUUCCAUGAAAUUAAGCUCAAUUAUUAAAGACCGCAUUUAGAAUGAUGAGGACAUGAGAGUUUUAGUAUCUAAGCUUUCAUCUCCUAUUUCAUCUCAACUCCUUCAACAGCAUCUGAAUGUAUUUUUUCCUAUCUUUUAUUUUAAUUGUUUUCUGAGCUUAGGAUGGUUAAUUACUUUUCUGUUCUAUUUCAGGGAACUCUUCUCAGACCUUGGUGGAUUUAACUUGUGGUUCUCUUUUCACAAUGAACCUUGUGCAAUUGGUCUCCAAGAAGCACUUGGAUAUUGAAAAGGAAGAAGAUGACAAGAUGUAUCUAUUAUGGAGAAUGGGAGCACGAGUCUGUUUGGCUUAUGUACGGAGGGAAGAUGUAUUGCGGUGUGGUGGCACUGGAAUGUCGAUGAUGGAGAAAGUGAGCCAUUUUUAUCCCUUCUUUGUAAGUAGUGUAAACAUGAAACCAAAUCUAGGGAAAAGAGUAGCAUAUCAUUUGUUGAUGACCUUUGAUUGGUGGUCUUAGCUAACAUGGAAUUUAAUUUAGAACUUUAUUUGUGGGCUUCUAUUACCCAUCUACUGUGUAUGUGAGUGUGAAAUAGAAGGCAUAAGAGCAUGCCAUGGACAUCCAAGCUGGUUUGUUUCUUGGGGGGCUUUUUCAAAUUGCACAUUGCACAAUUACUCAACAUAAAUAUUAUAGCAUAUUACUGUUAAGGGGUCUUAUAAAUGGGGACGGAGGGAGAACUUUGUAGAGAAAAUCAACUUAUCAUUUUCAUUCUUAUUAAGAGUAUAUUCUCUGUUUCAUAUGCUUCAUAUGAUGAAUAUUUAUCACUGAUCUCUAUUUUUUUCUUUCAAUAGGGGGAUACCAGCAGAGGUUGCACCAUUUGUUCGUAAGCAUGGGAAAGCUCCAUGGACCUUAAUGGGCACAUAUGGAAAAAAGACUCUCAGAUACUUGCACCUGAAAAACCCAAGAAAGUAGCAAAGUUUGGAUCUGGCUGCAAACAAUUCUGCAGAGAACUAAUUAAAGCAACUCAUUACUUGUGGUUCAGGUUCACAGG
This 3041-nucleotide long non-coding RNA is filed under the name Lotus japonicus. RNAcentral describes it as "long non-coding RNA (LJAP_LNC000131)". The record is from RNAcentral. Lineage: Eukaryota; Viridiplantae; Streptophyta; Magnoliopsida; Fabales; Fabaceae.